RNAcentral lists this ribosomal RNA (740 nucleotides) under Rothia mucilaginosa. Its description in RNAcentral is "bacterial SSU rRNA". It matches the Rfam family "Bacterial small subunit ribosomal RNA", at positions 28 to 776 of the family's 1533-position model. Lineage: Bacteria; Bacillati; Actinomycetota; Actinomycetes; Micrococcales; Micrococcaceae. The record is from RNAcentral.
GACGAACGCUGGCGGCGUGCUUAACACAUGCAAGUCGAACGAUGAAGCCUAGCUUGCUAGGUGGAUUAGUGGCGAACGGGUGAGUAAUACGUGAGUAACCUACCUUUAACUCUGGGAUAAGCCUGGGAAACUGGGUCUAAUACCGGAUACGACCAAUCUCCGCAUGGGGUGUUGGUGGAAAGCGUUAUGUAGUGGUUAUAGAUGGGCUCACGGCCUAUCAGCUUGUUGGUGAGGUAACGGCUCACCAAGGCGACGACGGGUAGCCGGCCUGAGAGGGUGACCGGCCACACUGGGACUGAGACACGGCCCAGACUCCUACGGGAGGCAGCAGUGGGGAAUAUUGCACAAUGGGCGCAAGCCUGAUGCAGCGACGCCGCGUGAGGGAUGACGGCCUUCGGGUUGUAAACCUCUGUUAGCAGGGAAGAAGAGAAAUUGACGGUACCUGCAGAGAAAGCGCCGGCUAACUACGUGCCAGCAGCCGCGGUAAUACGUAGGGCGCGAGCGUUGUCCGGAAUUAUUGGGCGUAAAGAGCUUGUAGGCGGUUUGUCGCGUCUGCUGUGAAAGGCCGGGGCUUAACCCCGUGUAUUGCAGUGGGUACGGGCAGACUAGAGUGCAGUAGGGGAGACUGGAACUCCUGGUGUAGCGGUGGAAUGCGCAGAUAUCAGGAAGAACACCGAUGGCGAGGCAGGUCUCUGGGCUGUAACUGACGCUGAGAAGCGAAAGCAUGGGGAGCGGACAGG